UGUAACAAUAAUAAUCAAAAUAUAUAAAUCUAAAUAAUAUGUUUCCUCUAAACAGGUCAUUCCUCUGAUGUUCUGCCAGCAGAAAUAUAUGGAAGCUCGGAAGUGAAAGCAGGACAAGAUUUAGAGUUAAAGUGUAAAAUCCCCACUGAAUCCGGAUCCUUCUACAUGUACCUGUGUAAAGACAGUGUCCUGCUGAAGAUGAGAUUACUGGAAGAUAAAAAAGAGGAGACUUUUAUUUUGAGAAAUAUCUCAGAACACGACUACGGGAGCUACAGCUGUGUGUACUCCAAUAAAAAAUACGCUCUGAAGGACUUCACUGGAACAGAACAGAGUGCAAUGAAGUUUCAUUUCUAUGGUAUGGAUAUAGAUGAUACGUACUGGACGAUGAAUUUUGUCAGGCUUCUGUGCUCUGUAGGAGUGCUCAUUUUUGGAUGCAUCAUAGUGAUUUUUGACAUUAAAGCUAAGGGCCGUCCAGUCCAGUAUAGGCUCAGUCCCAUUUCACCCCCUGCCCCUUCCACUUAACUCUACUAUUCAAAUUUUUUUGGAAGUCUCGAUUUAGAAAAUCUUUUAUUCUUCAAAUUAAGAUAUUUCUAAAAAAUGAAGAAAACUGUAUUUGG
This 617-nucleotide long non-coding RNA is filed under the name Astyanax mexicanus (Mexican tetra). RNAcentral's name for it is "lncRNA (ENSAMXG00005006946.1)". The record is from RNAcentral. Lineage: Eukaryota; Metazoa; Chordata; Actinopteri; Characiformes; Acestrorhamphidae.